This 240-nucleotide ribosomal RNA is filed under the name uncultured bacterium. Its description in RNAcentral is "partial 16S ribosomal RNA". It matches the Rfam family "Bacterial small subunit ribosomal RNA", at positions 96 to 334 of the family's 1533-position model. The record is from RNAcentral.
UGGCGAACGGGUGAGUAACGCGUGAGGAACCUGCCUCAAAGAGGGGGACAACAGUUGGAAACGACUGCUAAUACCGCAUAAGCCCACGGGUCGGCAUCGACCUGAGGGAAAAGGAGCAAUCCACUUUGAGAUGGCCUCGCGUCCGAUUAGCUAGUUGGUGAGGUAACGGCCCACCAAGGCGACGAUCGGUAGCCGGACUGAGAGGUUGAACGGCCACAUUGGGACUGGGACACGGCCCAG